CCUACGGGAGGCAGCAGUGGGGAAUAUUGCACAAUGGGCGAAAGCCUGAUCCAGCCAUGCCGCGUGUGUGAAGAAAGUCUUCGGAUUGUAAAGCACUUUAAGUUGGGAGGAAGGGCAGUAAGUUAAUACCUUGCUGUUUUGACGUUACCGACAGAAUAAGCACCGGCUAACUUCGUG
This 177-nucleotide ribosomal RNA is filed under the name uncultured Pseudomonas sp. RNAcentral's name for it is "partial 16S ribosomal RNA". It matches the Rfam family "Bacterial small subunit ribosomal RNA", at positions 338 to 507 of the family's 1533-position model. The record is from RNAcentral. Lineage: Bacteria; Pseudomonadati; Pseudomonadota; Gammaproteobacteria; Pseudomonadales; Pseudomonadaceae.